Molecule: long non-coding RNA, 830 nt
Organism: Epinephelus moara (kelp grouper)
Lineage: Eukaryota; Metazoa; Chordata; Actinopteri; Perciformes; Serranidae
Exons: 3
Source: RefSeq, a predicted model, not a curated record
GAAACGACGGCCAACGUUGAUGACCUGGAUGAAGGACAGGUUCCUAUGGGUCAGAGUGAGAGGAGGACAACAGAAAGGGAGUCAAUACAAGCUGUAACUGAAGACAAUGAAAAAUGGAACACCCAUCAGGAUUUGGGGUUCAGUAUCUUGCCCAAGGAUACUUCGGCAUGUGUACCGGAGGAACAGAGGAUUGAACCGCCGAUCUUGCAGUUGGUGGACAACCUGCUCUGGAGGUUGAAGGCUAUUAAGGACGGAGGGUGAUGUGGUCAUGUGCGAGUGUGUUGACCAAGGAAGACCAUCCUUCAUUCUGGGAAAACAAACCAAAACAAAAGACGUGGCGAGACGAGACUUGACUUGAGAUUCUAUGAGCGGGUGACUGACAUUUUAAGACCCAGAGGGCAGGUUUUGUGUUCAAGACGUAUACUUACUUCAUCUCACAAUCCUGAUUAAAGAGUCCUCAAAGUCUGACUGUGACAUUAAAAUUAAGCCGAGCUCAGUGACGUUAUUCCUGGCUGACUCUGAAUGUUGACCUUGCCCACUGCAGUAUUACCAUGCGUCAGAAAGGUACAGUACAUGCUGUAUUACCUGCCUCUGCAAAUACCCCCUGACACUGUAUACAUACCAAUAAUGACAGAAGGCGUGUCAGCGUUGAUAUUUAAUAAUCUGUGCUUGCUGAAACCAUAUCACCUUUCUUUACCUGCCGCCAACAGAGCAGCAAAUGUGAUUAAAAGGACAAUUCACUGCCCGCUGCUGCUGCAUUAUAUUAAGUAAGUGUAACAGCUGAGGUGCACAGGGGUCAGUGGUUACUACAGAACAGCCUCAGGAAAUGA